GUCAGGGUGGCCGAGUGGUCUAAGGCGCCAGACUCAAGUUCUGGUCCUCGUUGGGGGCGUGGGUUCGAAUCCCAUCCCUGACA
This is a non-coding RNA of Mobula hypostoma (lesser devil ray), 83 nucleotides long. The record is from the annotation of a RefSeq genome assembly. NCBI's taxonomy places the organism in Eukaryota, Metazoa, Chordata, Chondrichthyes, Myliobatiformes, Myliobatidae.